ACUAGCCAGUGUGCUACAAGAGUACAAUGAACAAAGGAAAACACACGAAUGUAUUCCUUACGCAUUUGGGGUCGUCCUGACUGCUGUGUCUAAUCUCCGUUGGCUGGAGCCAGACCUCACAAUCUAAACUAACACCCGAUUGGCUAACAACUUAAAACUUUUCUAAGCAGGUGGAAGCAAUGGAGAGCUGGGACAUGGCUGUGAGCACGUCCAGCACAGAUAUCUUGGUUAAAGUACAAGGACUUAGACUGUACUAUGUGCCUGUAAGCAUGGCAUGCCUAACAGCUACAUAGGUUAGGGCUUAACAAAGUUAUUAGCACACUUAUUCUUUAACAAGAAAGGAAACUUUAAAAAGGAACUUUUCUACUUCCCACACCCUCAUCACCACCUGAAGGCUUUUACUGCUCCCCCUGCUGCCCCUCCCCCUUGAUCUUUCCCAGGAAUCACCUUCGAUCAAUCUGCACUUCCAACUCCGUGUUGGUGCCUGCUUUCCAGCUGAGCCAAACUGUGGGCUGGUGGUGACCUAGCUAGACUGCGGGGGCAGCGACUCCUGGCCAGGGCUGAGAGGACACAGCCUGUGAAGGGGACAGGGAGCGGGCUCACCUUCAAAGCCAGAUGGCUCAUAAACCCCAGUGGCUUGGCUGGAUGUGGCUGAUUCAGGUCGGGGAUCCCCGCUGGGGGGCCAGGCAGCAGAUCCCUCUCUCAUUCUGGACAAGAACUUGGGCAAAGAUGCCACAGCCACAGAGGUUUCCUGCCAGAAAAAUCAACACCCCAGAGAUCCUGUAACAUUAAUGUAUCUUCAAAGGCAGCAGCUGUAAAAUCUGAAGGAAAGAAAACCACUUCCUGGGAAUGUUGUACUAAGGACUGACAGAAACAAGCUGGAAAGCCUUGCUUCUCAAAUGUCACCAUGCAUGUGAGUCAACGGGGAUCUUGUUAAAAUGCAGAUUCUGACUCAACAGGUCUUAGGUGAAGCCUGAGAUUCGGCAUUUCUAAUGAGCUCCCAGGUGAUGUCGAUGCUGCUGUCGGUGAAUCUCAAUUUUAGCAACAAAGAAUGUGGAAGAUCGUAGCAGGAACUUGGUUCAUACGAGGUACUCAACAGGCAGUGUCUUUGGUUAUCACUAUUACCAUGGUCAUCAGGCAACAUCGGUGAGACUGUCUCUUUCCUGACCACAGCCCAUAUCCUCCUUCAAAACUGUGUCAUUUGAGGUUUCCCUUAAAGCCACCAGAACACAAAUAUUGGAGAGGCCCAAAGUGGAGGCCAUCACAGAUGACCCAGUGGCCAAACUGUCCAUUGGACAUCUCUAGAAGCAGACACUGUUCUCGCUGACCCAGGGUCCAGUGGGCCCAGUUGUUUGGGCUUUCAUGUGGGAAGCUGGGAUGGCAGUGGUGUUGCCCAGCCACUUCUCCGCUUCAUCAAUCACAACUGCCUGAAGGUACAACAGAGGUCACUAGAGUCCCCUAUCCCUCAUCCUAAAAGAAGCCACUUGCUCUCCUAUUUUCUCAUGGGAGGGAGCUCUAAGGGAUCGGGAGCAAGCUCCUCCAGUAGCAGUGGAAGCAGCAUGGCUCAUGGUUGCCAUCUUGGGACCUUGGACAACUCGUAAACUUUUUCAGGGCCUCAGUUUCCUCAUCUGUAAAGUGGGGCAACACUUUACCACCCUAGCGUUGUGAGCAUGAAAUGCGAUAAUGGACAUAAAAUCCUUCUCACACUGUGUGUGCCAACUGUGCAUUAUUUUAUGAUUAUUAGUGUGUCUCCACACUGUGUCUCCUGCCUCCUCAUCACCUAGCCACAAAAGCUGGUGCUACAGCCACCUGAGCUGUAAUGGAAUGGCAUGUUUGAGCUGGUCCUAUGCUGACUUGGAGCUGAGAGCUUCAUGUGGUUUGGGGUCAAGUUAAGUGUAUCGGAAAUAUGAAGCCAGAGGAACCAGAGCUGUGGCUCAUGAGAAGGGUGAGCCCCUUCUGAGAACCUGUGGGGAAUGGAGGGGAAAAGAGGAAGGGGACAAGGAGAAACGGCAAAUGUGGUUCCAUCUUCUGCUGCAGGCUGACCUGUCCAUGGGUAUGGAGUGUCUGGGGAGGGCCCAGCGUGCUGGGUAAGGCUGCAGGGUGUGUGGUG
RNAcentral lists this long non-coding RNA (2110 nucleotides) under Callithrix jacchus (white-tufted-ear marmoset). RNAcentral's name for it is "lncRNA (ENSCJAG00000079847.1)". The record is from RNAcentral. Lineage: Eukaryota; Metazoa; Chordata; Mammalia; Primates; Cebidae.